CUGCUGCCUUCCGUAGGAGUUUGGACCGUGUCUCAGUUCCAAUGUGGGGACCUUCCUCUCAGAACCCCUACGCAUCGUCGGCUUGGUGGGCCGUUGCCCCACCAACUACCUAAUGCGCCGCAUGCCCAUCCGUGACCGGGGUCGCCCCCUUUGGCCGGCAGGGGAUGUCCCCUCCCGGCAUUAUGUUGUAUUAGGCGGGAUUUCUCCCGGUUAUCCAUCUGUCACGGCCAGGUUGCAUACGUGUUACUCACCCGUGCGCCGGUCGCCGGCGG
This 272-nucleotide ribosomal RNA is filed under the name uncultured bacterium. Its description in RNAcentral is "partial 16S ribosomal RNA". The record is from RNAcentral.